AUCCUUUUGUAGUUCAUGACGUAUGAUGAUUGGGUGUUCACACGUUUGUGUGAGAUGUGCCACCUUAUUGACUCCUUGUUACGACAUUGGCACAUUUCCCGUCUGACC
Molecule: small nucleolar RNA, 108 nt
Organism: Rhinopithecus roxellana (golden snub-nosed monkey)
Lineage: Eukaryota; Metazoa; Chordata; Mammalia; Primates; Cercopithecidae
Product: small nucleolar RNA U13
Exons: 1
Source: RefSeq, a predicted model, not a curated record